AACCAUUCUCACCUGCGGCUAGACCUGCGGAGGGAUCAUUACAAGUGACCCCGGUCUAACCACCGGGAUGUUCAUAACCCUUUGUUGUCCGACUCUGUUGCCUCCGGGGCGACCCUGCCUUCGGGCGGGGGCUCCGGGUGGACACUUCAAACUCUUGCGUAACUUUGCAGUCUGAGUAAACUUAAUUAAUAAAUUAAAACUUUUAACAACGGAUCU
RNAcentral lists this unclassified non-coding RNA (216 nucleotides) under soil metagenome. RNAcentral describes it as "partial contains 5.8S ribosomal RNA, internal transcribed spacer 2, and large subunit ribosomal RNA". The record is from RNAcentral.